CAAGUAGGUGAGGAAGGUGGGGAUGACGUCAAAUCAGCACGGCCCUUACGUCCAGGGCUACACACGUGCUACAAUGGCCGGUACAAAGGGCAGCUACCUGGUGACAGGAUGCUAAUCUCAAAAGCCGGUCUCAGUUCGGAUCGGAGUCUGCAACCCGACUCCGUGAAGUUGGAUUCGCUAGUAAUCGCGCAUCAGCCAUGGCGCGGUGAAUACCGGUUCCCGGGCCUU
This 228-nucleotide ribosomal RNA is filed under the name uncultured Sphingobacteriales bacterium. RNAcentral's name for it is "partial 16S ribosomal RNA". It matches the Rfam family "Bacterial small subunit ribosomal RNA", at positions 1157 to 1382 of the family's 1533-position model. The record is from RNAcentral. Lineage: Bacteria; Pseudomonadati; Bacteroidota; Sphingobacteriia; Sphingobacteriales.